Molecule: ribosomal RNA, 492 nt
Filed under: Salmonella enterica subsp. enterica serovar London
Lineage: Bacteria; Pseudomonadati; Pseudomonadota; Gammaproteobacteria; Enterobacterales; Enterobacteriaceae
Description: partial 23S ribosomal RNA
Rfam family: Bacterial large subunit ribosomal RNA
Source: RNAcentral
GAUUCGUCACACUAUCAUUAACUGAAUCCAUAGGUUAAUGAGGCGAACCGGGGGAACUGAAACAUCUAAGUACCCCGAGGAAAAGAAAUCAACCGAGAUUCCCCCAGUAGCGGCGAGCGAACGGGGAGGAGCCCAGAGCCUGAAUCAGCAUGUGUGUUAGUGGAAGCGUCUGGAAAGGCGCGCGAUACAGGGUGACAGCCCCGUACACAAAAGCGCAUGUGCUGUGAGCUCGAUGAGUAGGGCGGGACACGUGGUAUCCUGUCUGAAUAUGGGGGGACCAUCCUCCAAGGCUAAAUACUCCUGACUGACCGAUAGUGAACCAGUACCGUGAGGGAAAGGCGAAAAGAACCCCGGCGAGGGGAGUGAAAAAGAACCUGAAACCGUGUACGUACAAGCAGUGGGAGCCCCACCACUAAGCCAGUGGUGAACUCCACAUACGCAUCCUUUGCUGAGGAUACGGUUAACGGAGCGAAAGCGACGUUCAACCUCAAA